This 5107-nucleotide long non-coding RNA is filed under the name Taeniopygia guttata (zebra finch). RNAcentral describes it as "lncRNA (ENSTGUG00000019424.1)". The record is from RNAcentral. Lineage: Eukaryota; Metazoa; Chordata; Aves; Passeriformes; Estrildidae.
AACAUCAUGUAGUGUCUUCUUGUAUGUGCAAGUGUUAAUAUUAAGAGUUUGAGACAGUUUUGGCUUGACGAGUGUAAUUUUCUUAAAUCUGGCACUAGAAUUACAAUUUCUUACAAUGGGAGAGAUAUAGCAAGAAUACCAAGUCAAUAUAUUUCCAUGUAUCUCUGCACAUUAUUUAAAAUUACAUCUUGUUCUAAAGCCUUUUUUAAGGGCAUAUCAAAGUGUAAUUUUUUAAGGUGUUUACUGUUCUAUAUUAUACAGCUGGUAAAUUCAGGGGAGAAGCAUUCAUGUCCUCAUCAGAGACAUCAGGUAAGUUGGGAAGACAGGAGUCAUAUUCUGAGCAGAUGUGCAGUGCUUUUGGAUCAUGUAUGCAGGCAUUCUGCUUGAAAUGUGGAGGGAAUGUGUUCAUCUCUAAUGAAUAUGGCCCUAAGACUGCAAUUAAAACUGUGACUUGUGCUCAUUUCUAUCAACUGCUUCAGCUGUGCUGUUGUUGCUCCUAAUAGGCAAUAAUACUUAAAAUGACAUUAGGAGAUCCAAAGCAUGCUGCAUUUGCAAUUGUUUGCUUUAAAGUAAAUUUUGCUUCAUUGUAAGUGUCCAGCAUGAUUAUUUGGGAGUCAUUGUUGAUAACUGAAUGCUUAGAGCCAUUAUGACGUUGAAGCUAAUCAGCUUUCAGGAACUGACUCAUUGUGAGAUAGUAAAAUGUUUUCCCAUUCUGGCCAUCUAAAGAAGUCUCACUUAGUAAUAAUGAUUUUUUAAAAAAAGUAUUUCUAAAAGAUUUUAAACCAAAUGAACUUGGAAAACAGCUGCUGAGAAGAAUUUCCAGUAAAGUCUUUCAUCUGUGAGGUUCAGAGCAACCUCUAGGUCAAUCACUCUGCCGUAAUUUUUGAAAAUAUAAAUGCCUUAAUUAAGCAAGUUUUAAAUAGAAAGGGGAGCUAGAAAUUGUUGGCUUUAAUGUAUUUAUACAUCUAUGCUUUUCAGCAGUUGGGGGAGAAGUGUGCUAAUCUCAAGUCAAAAUGAAAUAUUUAUUAUAUCCUCAAAAUUUCUGUAGCACUUUUUACAAAUUCAUCUGCUUGGUAAGUACUGCCACAUGGUGUUAGCAUAACUAACUAACCUGAUGGAAGAAGAUACUCUUAUCUGAGGCAGUUUAAUCAAUCCUUAUGAUGGUUAUCAAAUAUAAUGUCUUCAAGGGGCCCUGUGUUAGAUUGUAUACUGAUGGGCAAGCAAUUGCCUAAUGGAGGACAUUGCAUGCAUUUAGUGAGUGGAAGCAAUGAUCUUGGCUGGAAACAAGAUCUAACUCAGAUGUUUCAGGCAAGUGCUUUGUCUGCUAAUGAAGAAGAAAUAGUAUUUCAAAUUAUACAACUUGUUACUAUUUACAAAUUAUUUUUUACUUGAAAGAGAAAUAUUUAAAAGUACUGCUCUGCCCUGAUGUCUUUUAUUGUUAGAGAAUUUGAAAAGCCUCCUUCUCAAUGAUCCUACACCACAAACAAAUAAAGUUCCUGGGAUAACUGUGGAGGGUGUUUGAAUCUAAACCAUGAUUGUAAAUCUAGUUAUAAAACUUCACAGAGCAGCAAGAUAACCAAAAACCAGACUGCUGUUAUGUUGGUGUUUGUGAGAAUAGAAGUGAACUUGGGUAUUUUGGGUCAACAUGUUCUUGUAAAACAAAUAAUUACAUACACAAUUAAGAAGUAGUCUUUACUGCAGGUACAGGGAUGUAAGCACACAGUCUGUGGUGACUGGGAUGGGGCUGUGGGAGCCUCAUCCCCAUGGGCACAGCUGUGAGCAGCAGGUGAGCAGCACUGACACAAUGAGCCAUGGAGUGCCCAGGGGCACUGAGCAACCACCAAAGGGAGCAGAGGGCACACAGGUGCCGUGCAUCAACAUGAGGGGAUAAAAGGUCAGGCUAAUGAACAAGCAGGUCAGUUGCUUGCAGCCUUGUGGAGUGGAAUGAUGUUGCUCUGUGUGGGCUGAUGCCUGAAGCCUUCUGAAGAGGUAAGGUGUUACUGUGUAUAGGGGAAUGCUUAAAGCUUUCUGAAAUUGUGUGGUGGUACUCUGUGUGUUGUGGCCAUCUCACAUGCUGUGACACAGGGAUAUGUUGCCAGAAUGGGCUGUUGGACAGAAGUGUUUUUUGCCAGCUGUGCUAUAUAACCUUCAGUUGUAUGUGCUAUCUGUAACCUUCAGUGGGUUACUGCUGAUUGAAGUGCCAUAUUACAGGCAACAAAAAUUGUUUUCUACCUCUACUGUCUUUUCUCUGCAAUGAGGAACCAGAUCCUGUUUUAUGGUCCUAUUCUGACUCAAUGUAAGCUCACAACAUCAUGGGGUGUAAUAUACUGAGUCUUUACAAAUCUGUAAUCAUGCUGCAAGGAUGUAAAGCUCAGUAACUACAGCCCAGUGUGAAAGGUAUUCUUGCCUAUCCUCUUCAGAGAGCUCUAAAUCCCAUUCCCUGAUUUGAAUAUGCUGGAGACACCGCCUGGUAUCUUCUUUUUUAAGAGGCACUAUGAAGCUGUCAAAUUUCAACACCUCUGUCACCAUCAAUUUUCUUGAGCUCAAAAUCCAACUCCAGAGUGUGGCUGAAGUUGUGCCCAUAUAUUUUCUUGGUUAAAGUCAGCCAAGGUCUGUAACUGGCAGAAGUGAGUGAAACAUCAUUUCCAGUCACUUUUGAAUUUCUCUCUUGAAAGACCUUUCCUGGGUUGCUAGGGGAAUGUUUUCAGUGUGAAGUUUGAGCUCUCAACACCGUGUGGUUACUUUCAUACCCUUGCAGUUUGUGGGUCUUCAGGACUCCACUGCAGCAGUAUCAAGGCAGUGUGAAUGGGAAGUUUUUUCUCUUGUAACUCUCAUGUAAUGCUUCAGGGUCUUGCCCAGUGGAAAAAUAAAAGUCCUUAUUAUGUUUGAGGCUUCUGCAUGGAUGCCAGUUUGUUGACUUAACUAGUCUUGUUAACAUACAUUUAUGUCUACAUAAAUACAAGUGAUUGACUCCAAAGGGCUUUUCUCUCAAUUUGAACAGUGUAUGCUCAAGGUUACUUCCCUCUGAUGAGCAGAAGUGAUAGAAAAUGAAUGCAGUAUUUCCUUUUUAGUGAUUAUCUCAAGAUAUGGUUUGUAGUCUUAGAACUGCCAGCUCUGGCCUUAUCACUGUAAUGUGUCCUCACCAUCUGUUCAGGGCUCUGUUGGUGAAGAAUGGAGGCUUAAUUGGUGCUUAAUAUUAAUUGAACAGUGGUAACAAAGGAAAAGUCAUUACUAAGGCUGAAGUGAAUUAGUACUAAAGAUUCUGAGGCAGCAGCUAUUAUUGCUGUUUACUUGUUGUCUGGAGCACUGGCUUCUGACAGAAGGUAGGAUCUUUGUAUGAAAGAACCAUUUACAAGAAUGGUAAUUUCCCACACAACACUCAAAGAGAGCCAGUGAGUAAUGGUGAUGCAUCCUCCAGAUUUACCCAAGUUCACCCAGGUGAUGCUGUGUGUAAGAAGGAAAAGGCAGAUUAAUCAUCAAGUAUAAAAUCUCAGUGUGCUGCAAGGAGAGUAAUGAUGAUUGCAACUCUUGUUGAGGUACUCAGAAUAUUUACAAUUCAGAGAUUAAAUUCGUUUCAUAUUGUAUGUAAAAUUAGUGCAUGUUUUUGAUCCUACAUAUUUGUUGUUAUCAUUAUGACAGGUUUUUUCAAAAUUUAGAAAAUAUGAGCAUAAGCCCUGUCCCGUUAUAAUUUGGAAAGUAAGGACACUGACCUGGGAUGUUCCAGAAUUUCAAAGUCCCUUCCCCUACAUAAAUGCUGAAAUCUUGAGAGCUAAAUUUAGCUCAAGGCAUCUUUAUUUAUUUCAAGCUGAAAAGAGAUCUAUGAACUCCUAAAAUUGCAACUUUUUUUGGUAUUGAUGACACAGUAGUUGCACUAAUAUUGUUGCUGUGAAGUCUAAGGGGUUUUUUUUAGGAUAAAAUUUACAGAAAGUAAAAAGAUGCAAAUUCCCAUAAACAUUUAAACAGAAAUAAAGAGUUUGUUGUUUUCAGCAUAAUAACUGAAAUAUAGAACUUCUGUUCCCUUUUUAAACAGAACCCUGCCAUAACAUCCAGAAAUACUUCCUAUUAAUAAUUUCUUUUUUCAGGCUUUGCCAGCAUGUAAAUCAUACCACAACUGGAAAAAGUUAAUCCCCAAAAUAUAAUGGAAAUCAGAAACACCACAAUAGCUAUAUAUGAUGUGUUGAGCAUUCACAAUGCUGAGCUAUUGUUAAAGGUCAGAAAAGCAGAUUGGCCAGCAAAUGAGGUGGUAUGCCUGGCUGCUGCUAAGAGCCCUGACAGAAGUAUCUUACUGCUUGAUUAAGCUGGUGCAGCACAAAAAUGGGUGGAGAGAAGAGAGCAGGUUUUUGUGGCUGCUGCAGAGCCCAGAUGCUCUGUGCCUUUGUCACAGAGUGCUGCCAGCAGAUUUUUGUACAGGCUGGAGAUGGGGCAAGGCCACAGCACAGGAGGCCUGCAGCUUCUGCUGCUGUGGAGUAGAGGAGGUGUGAUGGACCAAGCCCCUUCAAAAGCAUGGCUUGACUUGGAUGGAUUUUCCCCUCGGGAAUACUGAACACAGCACAACAACCAGAACACCUUCUGGGUCAAUGAUUCGGUUUUAAGGAUCAAGGAUCCAGAUGAGCAAAAUACUGGAGUUCUUCCCUUGAAUCCCAAUCUCUUCUAACUCAUCAAAGCCUUAGGUAUUUGCAGGAAUUCAUGUUAAACCUGAACAAAAAAAAACCUUUUCAAGUAUUCAUCUAGUUUUUCAUGGAAUGAGUUUUGUCUUGCUGUGUUUCAGGUUAUUUCAGUCCUUUCUGAACAAUCAAGGUUAACUGUGACUUUGGGUUUCUGCAGCACCAAUGUUUUUAAUUUCUUCUCAGUACAUAUUAAAAGUUAUACAUGCUUUAAUAUCUUGGUGAUAACCUCAUUGAAAAGUUCUAUAUGGAAGUAUCUACUGAAAGGAUAUUUCUUUGUCCUCCCACAUGGUACCUUUUUGAGAAAAGCUGCAGUCCUGGUGCCUAAAUGCUGUAAGAGAUCAGGUGCCUUGUAAGACUGCUGUUAUUACAAUGCUGCUGUUUGAAAGAGUUCAUUAAAUCUUUGUGUGGACAUUUUCACUUAAUGUUUCUUAGUCAUUUUC